GCCUUCGGGUUGUAAACCGCUUUCGCCUGUGACGAAGCGUGAGUGACGGUAAUGGGUAAAGAAGCACCGGCUAACUACGUGCCAGCAGCCGCGGUGAUACGUAGGGUGCGAGCGUUGUCCGGAUUUAUUGGGCGUAAAGGGCUCGUAGGUGGUUGAUCGCGUCGGAAGUGUAAUCUUGGGGCUUAACCCUGAGCGUGCUUUCGAUACGGGUUGACUUGAGGAAGGUAGGGGAGAAUGGAAUUCCUGGUGGAGCGGUGGAAUGCGCAGAUAUCAGGAGGAACACCAGUGGCGAAGGCGGUUCUCUGGGCCUUUCCUGACGCUGAGGAGCGAAAGCGUGGGGAGCGAACAGGCUUAGAUACCCUGGUAGUCCACGCUGUAAACGGUGGGUACUAGGUGUGGGGUCCAUUCCACGGGUUCCGUGCCAUAGCUAACGCUUUAAGUACCCCGCCUGGGGAGUACGGCCGCAAGGCUAAAACUCAAAGGAAUUGACGGGGCCCCGCACAAGCGGCGGAGCAUGCGGAUUAAUUCGAUGCAACGCGUAGAACCUUACCUGGGUUUGACAUGGAUCGGGAGCGCUCAGAGAUGGGUGUGCCUCUUUUGGGGUCGGUUCACAGGUGGUGCAUGGCUGUCGUCAGCUCGUGUCGUGAGAUGUUGGGUUAAGUCCCGCAACGAGCGCAACCCUUGUUCACUGUUGCCAGCACGUUAUGGUGGGGACUCAGUGGAGACCGCCGGGGUCAACUCGGAGGAAGGUGGGGAUGACGUCAAGUCAUCAUGCCCCUUAUGUCCAGGGCUUCACGCAUGCUACAAUGGCUGGUACAGAGAGUGGCGAGCCUGUGAGGGUGAGCGAAUCUCGGAAAGCCGGUCUCAGUUCGGAUUGGGGUCUGCAACUCGACCUCAUGAAGUCGGAGUCGCUAGUAAUCGCAGAUCAGCAACGCUGCGGUGAAUACGUUCCCGGG
RNAcentral lists this ribosomal RNA (956 nucleotides) under uncultured Propionibacterium sp. RNAcentral's name for it is "bacterial SSU rRNA". It matches the Rfam family "Bacterial small subunit ribosomal RNA", at positions 414 to 1378 of the family's 1533-position model. Lineage: Bacteria; Bacillati; Actinomycetota; Actinomycetes; Propionibacteriales; Propionibacteriaceae. The record is from RNAcentral.